Molecule: ribosomal RNA, 429 nt
Filed under: Actinomycetes bacterium
Lineage: Bacteria; Bacillati; Actinomycetota; Actinomycetes
Description: Actinobacteria bacterium partial 16S ribosomal RNA
Rfam family: Bacterial small subunit ribosomal RNA
Source: RNAcentral
UAGGGAAUCUUCCGCAAUGGGCGAAAGCCUGACGGAGCAACGCCGCGUGAGUGAUGAAGGUCUUCGGAUCGUAAAACUCUGUUAUUAGGGAAGAACAAAUGUGUAAGUAACUAUGCACGUCUUGACGGUACCUAAUCAGAAAGCCACGGCUAACUACGUGCCAGCAGCCGCGGUAAUACGUAGGUGGCAAGCGUUAUCCGGAAUUAUUGGGCGUAAAGCGCGCGUAGGCGGUUUUUUAAGUCUGAUGUGAAAGCCCACGGCUCAACCGUGGAGGGUCAUUGGAAACUGGAUAACUUGAGUGCAGAAGAGGAAAGUGGAAUUCCAUGUGUAGCGGUGAAAUGCGCAGAGAUAUGGAGGAACACCAGUGGCGAAGGCGACUUUCUGGUCUGUAACUGACGCUGAUGUGCGAAAGCGUGGGGAUCAAACAGG